GAUGAACGCUGGCGGCGUGCCUAAUACAUGCAAGUCGAGCGAACAGACGAGGAGCUUGCUCCUCUGACGUUAGCGGCGGACGGGUGAGUAACACGUGGAUAACCUACCUAUAAGACUGGGAUAACUUCGGGAAACCGGAGCUAAUACCGGAUAAUAUAUUGAACCGCAUGGUUCAAUAGUGAAAGACGGUUUUGCUGUCACUUAUAGAUGGAUCCACGCCGCAUUAGCUAGUUGGUAAGGUAACGGCUUACCAAGGCAACGAUGCGUAGCCGACCUGAGAGGAGGAGCGGCCACACUGGAACUUAGACACGGACCAGACGCCGACGGGCGGAAGCAGUAGGGAAGAUUGCGGAAUGGGCGCAAGGCGGAUGGAGCAACGCCGAGUGAGGGAAGAAGGUCUUCGGAUCGGAAAACUCUUGUAGUAGGGAAGAAAAAAUGUGUCAGGAAACAUGGGCGGCAUGACGGGAACUAAUCAGAAAGAAACGGCUAACUACGUG
RNAcentral lists this ribosomal RNA (497 nucleotides) under uncultured bacterium. RNAcentral describes it as "partial 16S ribosomal RNA". It matches the Rfam family "Bacterial small subunit ribosomal RNA", at positions 28 to 507 of the family's 1533-position model. The record is from RNAcentral.